Molecule: long non-coding RNA, 736 nt
Organism: Anolis carolinensis (green anole)
Lineage: Eukaryota; Metazoa; Chordata; Lepidosauria; Squamata; Anolidae
Exons: 2
Source: RefSeq, a predicted model, not a curated record
AAGUCUGCAAGACAAAAAAAAAAGGAACAAUGACUGCAUUAUGACACCACCACCAGCAGCCAAUAGAAAAUAGAUUUUUGAUUAAAACUGUGUGAUCAAUUGAACUAAAGAAAUGUCAUAGAAUCAUAGAGUUGGAAGAGACCACAUGGGCCAUCAAGUCUAACCCCUUGCCAUGCAGGAAAAUCACACUCAAAGUACCCCCAACAGAUGACCAUCCAGCCUCUGUUUUAAAGCCUCCAAAGAAGCAGCCUCCACUAGACUCCGAGGCAGAGAAUUCUUCCUAAUGUUCAGGUGGAAUCUCCUUUCCAGGGACUUAGGCUUUGCCUACAAUCAUCCAUGAAGAAAUGGGGUAGUUUCCCACCUGUGCAGAUAACAGAAGCAUCCUCGUGGUGAUUGCAGUUAUGCUUGCCCCAGGGCUGAGAACGGCAGCGCCGUAGAGUGAACUCUGACCCAGUGCAGUUGACGUCAUCCAACCAGAUUGGUCCAGAACCAGGCCCAUAACGUGCAUUGCCCGGACUGAGAAGAGGAGCUCCACAGCCCAACUCACGGCACACCACAGCUGCAUCUACCAGAUCCCAGCCAUCAUCACACACCGUUCCCCAGUGGUCUUUAUAUAGAACUUCUACUCGACCAGCACAGGAUCCGGGGCCUCCUACCAGCCGUACCUGCCAUUGGCCUGAAAUUGAAACAGAUUGAGGAGAUUGAAACAGUUUAACAAUUAAAAGCCAAAAUAUCA